RNAcentral lists this long non-coding RNA (477 nucleotides) under Arabidopsis lyrata. RNAcentral's name for it is "long non-coding RNA (ALYR_LNC002654)". Lineage: Eukaryota; Viridiplantae; Streptophyta; Magnoliopsida; Brassicales; Brassicaceae. The record is from RNAcentral.
CGAUGAUCAAAACAUGCAUUGUACUGCCCGCUUGGCUGAAAUGUUGAACGGGUUCUCAGAUAAUCUGCAAGCACAAUCUCAGGUCGCUUCAGAGUUCUUGAUGGACGAAAUUAAAAUUUUAGAAGAGUGCAAAUGCAUCGGAUUGCCUAAUUUUAUACCAAGAUCUUCUUUCUUAGCUAUCCUUUCACAACAUGUGGAUGGAAUUCAUGCCAAGCCGGUUGAGUUCAUCAAAGAGAUAUGGGACUACAUUGAAGUUGUUCUCUCGUCUGUCAUUACCAAGUAUUCUGACAACUUUCCACAGAUCCAAUCCUCCAUCAAAAGGGCUGGUUGUAAUCUAAUGAGCAAGACUAAGGAACGUUCAGUGAACAGAGUAAUUGAGAUCGUUGAGAUGGAGAAGCUUACCGAUUACACAUGUAGCCCAGAUUACAUGACUUCUUGGACUCAGAAGACAACUUCACAGCAAAACUUCAUCAAUUG